CAUGUUCAGUACAUGUGCAGUUGUUCUUUUUCCAAAUAUUGUUGAACUGCAAAUAGUUGAUUCUACAGAUAAUGGGAGGGUGUCCAUCUUUAGGAAGGCUAUGAGCAGGCAGCCUCUUAGGAAUUCAGCCAAGAGGAAAAGCACUCUGAUUAUGAAUGGAACAGUAGGAAACUGAUUCCUGCAAAUGAUAGCAGCAAGACAAGAACCACGGAUCAGAGAAAUGACAGGAAGGAGGAAUGCUCCCUGCCAGUAGCCUCAUGCCAGGGAACAACUACCACACUAAUCCCCAUGGUCUCAUGAAGCAGUGACUGUAACAAUCUUCAUUCUACAGAUGUGGAGACCCAGGCACGGAGGGAAAGUCAUGGCCCUGGUGACACAACUAGAAAGGAUGCAGCAGGCUGGCAGCCUGUUCUGGGACUAAACCCACAGCUUGAAUUCUGAGCUGCUGCAUUUUGCCACCUUGCAGUGUGACAUGCUUGUCACAAGCUUGGAGUGCAGAGUUCGUGUUCUCAGCACAGCUAUUCACGUCUGAAGAUAAAGAACUUUUAUGCUGAGCCUGAGGCAGGUGUAUACACAACCAUUUAUCAAAGUCCACCUGGGUCCAGACAUCUGGUAAGCCCUGGAAGUACACAGCAGGAUCCUGCCAGUCUCUGCCCUCAUGGAGACUGGCCAGUCGGUAAUACCAGAUUAAAU
Molecule: long non-coding RNA, 693 nt
Filed under: Heterocephalus glaber (naked mole-rat)
Lineage: Eukaryota; Metazoa; Chordata; Mammalia; Rodentia; Bathyergidae
Description: lncRNA (ENSHGLG00000050340.1)
Source: RNAcentral